RNAcentral lists this long non-coding RNA (1625 nucleotides) under Struthio camelus australis. RNAcentral's name for it is "lncRNA (ENSSCUG00000004956.1)". Lineage: Eukaryota; Metazoa; Chordata; Aves; Struthioniformes; Struthionidae. The record is from RNAcentral.
CUUUGGGCGAGCUCGUAAACAAGCCGCCGGGCUCUGAGCAGGCCUGAUUUGCAUUGCAGAUCCCUCUUGGCCGAGCUCUGCUCCCUUUGCCAGCCAGCAAUCGGGUAAAUAACACGCAUUGUUCUCGCUGCUUGUUUAUGCAAAUGCUUUCAGCAUGUUUGCUAUUCCUGAAUAAUUUCCGAGCCGGGGUGUCACGUCGCUAGAGUGCUUGUGUUUACUCGCUCUCCCUGCGUUAGUUAGCCAGGCUUUGGUGCCCGGGUCGUACUGCCAGUGAGGACCACAGAGGGGUUCACACCGUCCUUGCUUGCAGGAAGGCUUCCGGAUGGGUGUCUUUGGCCAUGGAGGGGAAGAGAGAGGAACAUCGGGUCCUGAGCCAUUGCUACCAACCUACAGAUGGAGGGCCAUCAGUAGGAAACUGUCCUGGACCGAUGGGUUGAAGACCCUCGUUGGAGAUCUUUCCACCUCUAUCUUCUGCUGAAUCCUGAAGUCUCUUGGAGUCACCUUUGCCCAUGUAGCAUCCUGCUGCAGCUCUCCUCACCACCGUGGCCAAAUGCUUCUUCACCUUCAGUGAACGUCUCUUCACAACCUCCCCCCAGCGCCAGGGCUGGAGCCACGUGCACGCGGCCCCCCGACUCUGUAGGGAGGCGAGGUGUUGGGCCAUCUCUCCCGCAUCUCCAAACGGCAGCCAGACACCAGGCCUUCUCCUGCUUUUGGCACACCUCCGCCCAUCGUCUUCGUGGCUCGCAUCUGAAACGAUCCCCCCCAUUCAAGGUGAUCCAAGAAGUGAUUGGAGCCGGUUCAGGGAAGCAGACUGGCGCUGUACGUCUCACCUCGCGCUGUCUCCUGACCACCUCCUUGUCGCAGCGAGCACCAGGAACGUGGACCUCCUGUCGCUGCGCUGCCACAGCUGCCUCUGCAUAGGCUCUGAAAACAGGGAAGCUCAUCCUGCUCUCACAGGGUCAUGAAUAAGGUAGGCUGGAAGGGGCCUUGGGGGUCCCCUGGUUCAUCCCCCUGCUCAAAGCCGGUUUGACCUCCAAGUCAGCUUGUGAACAGAGGAGGACCCCGAGUGACCGAUGGGCUGGGGGUGGGCACAUCAUUUCUUUUUUUUUUUUUUUUUUACUGCAAUCUUCUCCGCUAACAGGUGGACGCAAGCCACUCCUCGGGGUGCAAGCCUCUAAAAGAUGGGGAAAAAAGAUCACCUUAGCUUCCUGCAAAUAAGGUCACUUGUUUGACGCUAGGUGCAGAUGCAGCACUGAGCCGUGCGGUGGGUUCCCUGCCUCGCAGGCUGUGGCCGUGCCGCCUGCUCGGGUGCACCCAUCCCCGUUUUAACUGGCAUCCAGGAGAGCAGCAGCCACAAACCUUCUGCAAAAUAGAUGUUGUGCUCUGAGCUCUUCCCUGCCCUGACCCCUCUGCGCUUCGCCAGCAACGUAAAAUCAUUAUUUCUCAUUGCAUUUAAAUAGCUUGGAAAUUGGCUUUUCUCUUCGGCUAUCGCGCCGAGCUUGAAGCAAGGGGAGAGGGGUUAAGAUGAAACGACACCUUAUCUAUAGCAGCUGGGAUCCUUGGUGGAGGCUGCCCCAUGCCUCCACCCAGGCCACCCAAAAAUCCCUCCGUAUGCCCCUGUGGCA